RNAcentral lists this ribosomal RNA (165 nucleotides) under uncultured bacterium. Its description in RNAcentral is "partial 16S ribosomal RNA". It matches the Rfam family "Bacterial small subunit ribosomal RNA", at positions 355 to 511 of the family's 1533-position model. The record is from RNAcentral.
UAGGGAAUCUUCCACAAUGGGCGCAAGCCUGAUGGAGCAACACCGCGUGAGUGAAGAAGGGUUUCGGCUCGUAAAACUCUGUUGGUAGAGAAGAACGUUGGUGAGAGUGGAAAGCUCAUCAAGUGACGGUAACUACCCAGAAAGGGACGGCUAACUACGUACCAG